UUUGUUUGGGGAUCUUUUAGUUUUUCUGCCUAUAUUUUGUUUUUAAAUUGCCGUUAUAAGUUGCUUUACCUUCAAUGUCAGUACUGCACUCACAGUGUUAAAGGUGUUUAUGCUGAGUACCCUUCAAUUCUGCAUACUGUGAAGUGCAGUCAUUCAGCUGAAAAACUGUCAAUCAAAGCCGUGGAUUAGAUACUCGAUGACAGUUAUGUAUACCUUUGAUCUUACUGCAACUGGACUGUCCAUGACGAGUUAGUUUUCAUGCACUGUCUUAAGAUUUGGAAGCUUUGAACUGUAAAUGACACUGUUAACCUGAAACAAUGCCUUAACAUGACAGAUAGACACCCACUCCACGUGGACACUCGAACCGAGAUGUCGCACCAACUUCACAGAACAUUGCACACGACUGAAAUAGAGUGACGAAGAACCUCCUUGUUUGAUCCUCUACGCAAAAUUCCAACAAAUUCCUUUCAGUAUUCUUACAGCUACAUUUGGGUCUUGGCCGUGAUAAUAACCACUGUGGUGAGGUUUGGAAUCGAGCAACACCGACACAUGUAAAGAGAGAAGCCAUACGCUGAGGUAACAGUAAUUGUGCUUACCGAAGCAUCUAAGUAAUUUAAAUUAUUAUAGUAUUGGCGUAUAAACUAUAGCAGGAAAAAGAUUAAUUACAUAUUCGUGCCGCCGAAGCAGUUGUUAUAAAAGCCGGACAGGCUAACUGAAACGCCAAAAAGUUUUUCUAAUAUAAAAUUUUGAAAUGAGAAAAAAUUGUAGUUUUUUUUUAUUCAUGAAUACAAUGCUUUCAAACCCACCCAGUUUAUCCCCAGAUUGACCUUUUUUAGUAUGCUUUCCCUGAAUAGUGUUUUUGCCCCGCUUAUCAAUGUGAUGUUCCGUUUUAAUCUUUAGACUACCUAAUUCCAAAUUUUCAAGGAUGAACAAGCAUUAUUUUCUCAAAUAAACGCUUUUGGGCCUCACUAUUUUUCCUAUUCGGAUCAUUGUGGAGGCAGCGUUUUGUGGUUUAUUUAUGUAUUAUUGGUUGGAUAAGCCGCGGUGUUUGCCGGGAUGCAAAUUAGUCAUGAGGCAUGUUCUGUUCGCUCUUCGCAAUUCACUUUUCACUACGCCUUCUUCCAAUAAUUCAUGGCAAAAAAACUUAUAAACCACAGAAAAAAAUUCUACGUAAUAGUAUUUAUACUCUAGUAGUUCGAUACUACAGAUAAUAUCCGUUUCUAGAAAACCGAAAACUGAUCACACGCCUGACUGAAAAGUAUCUCAUGCGGCUUCCUUUCAGUUUUUACUGAUUUGACUACUGAGUUUCAAUUUAAUGAAUAAAUGCAAAACUCUGCAAUUGAAAACUAUUUGAUUUUCUUGCUACAUAUGAAAUGAAGAAAUCAUUCUCACACUUAACCAACAUUGACAAACCUCACUAUAUCCCACUUAACGAGUUGAAAUGUCUACUUGUCGCGCUCAAUUCAAGACUUGCCUGAGUUAGAGAUUACAUCUGAUUUCGUGACUUCUUUGCCGUAUUAGUUACGUGCUGAAAAUGCGCAUACUUGACCGAUAAAAAGGUGGAUUGACCUCUUACCAGAGUAAGAAAAUGCUGAAAGAUAUCCACAUGCAAGGUCUCUUUCACAAUUUGUGAUUGCGUCUCGCAGUCCUUUCUCACGUAUCGUCUUCUCAAAGUAAUAAAGCUCGUGGGUAUUUAAUAAACUUGACGGUAAUCGACUUGUGAUGUUGUAAGCCAACUACCAAUGUGGAAAGGUUAAAGGCGGCCAUAAAUUCUGCGUUGACUUUCAUUUUCCUUCGAACACGUUUUACCUUUGG
This 1815-nucleotide long non-coding RNA is filed under the name Stylophora pistillata. RNAcentral's name for it is "uncharacterized LOC111321158". Lineage: Eukaryota; Metazoa; Cnidaria; Anthozoa; Scleractinia; Pocilloporidae. The record is from RNAcentral.